GGUAGAGAAGCGAAAGCGGAUGACCUUCGGGAGCUGUACAGGUGCUGCAUGGCUGUCGUCAGCUCGUGUCGUGAGAUGUUCGGUUAGUCCGCUAACGAGCGCAACCCUCGCUGUGUGUUACAAGUGUCACACGGAACUGCCGGUCAUAAACCGGAGGAAGGUGGGGAUGACGUCAAGUCAGCAUGGCCUUUAUAUCCUGGGCUACACACACGCUACAAUGGGAAGGGACAAUAGGUUGCGAAGCCGCGAGGCGGAGCCAAUCCAGCAAAACUUUCCUCAGUUCAGAUUGCAGGCUGCAACUCGCCUGCAUGAAGUUGGAGUUGCUAGUAAACGCAGGUCAGCCAUACUGCGUUGAAUACGUUCCCGGGGCUU
Molecule: ribosomal RNA, 372 nt
Filed under: uncultured Anaerolineaceae bacterium
Lineage: Bacteria; Bacillati; Chloroflexota; Anaerolineae; Anaerolineales; Anaerolineaceae
Description: bacterial SSU rRNA
Rfam family: Bacterial small subunit ribosomal RNA
Source: RNAcentral